Molecule: long non-coding RNA, 366 nt
Filed under: Dicentrarchus labrax (European seabass)
Lineage: Eukaryota; Metazoa; Chordata; Actinopteri; Moronidae
Description: lncRNA (ENSDLAG00005034820.1)
Source: RNAcentral
AUGUUUCAAUUGCCACACUCAAAGCUGCUAAUAUUGCAGAAGACUUACUACCUUCGCUUUUCCCGUGACGAAAUCAAAGAUCUGUUUCCUGGUCCUGAAAAGUUCUUGAGGCGCCGUGCAAUAUGGCUUGUUGUGAAUAAAGAUGAAAAGGUGGAUGCUGCUCCUGAAAUCCAGCAGUCACCCCCCACUGGAGGCAGCAACCUUUCAAAAGAGGAGGCCAGUACUUCUAAAUUUGUGACUAUGUCCAACCCAGAAUACAUAGUCUUCACAGACAGUGAGCUUGAAGAGGCGCGGCGCUCCUACUUUGAGCAGAAACGGCUGGGGACCGAGCACAGAGUGGCCUUAUCCAAGGAGCUCUUCUGCUGA